RNAcentral lists this unclassified non-coding RNA (304 nucleotides) under uncultured Rhytidhysteron. RNAcentral describes it as "sequence contains ITS1". Lineage: Eukaryota; Fungi; Ascomycota; Dothideomycetes; Hysteriales; Hysteriaceae. The record is from RNAcentral.
CCAAGAGGAUCGCAAGGCGUGCAGAGAAGGGUAGGAUGCCUAACCCGUUCGAUCGGUUGGACCCGUGCCCGCAUACUGCGAGGAGUCGUAUAGCCCUCUCGAGGGGGGCGCCGGUAGUAGCUAUCUACCCGCCCAUAGAUGGGACCUUCCCUUUAGACGGGGCUCUUCUCUACCGCUCUUGCAUUCCACAACCUUCACCCUUGAUUAUUCUAGCCUUGUUGCCUCGGCAGGCUCGCCUGCCAGAGGACACAAUCUAAACUACUGUUGUUAACAGCGAAGUCUGAGCUAUAAAAGCAAUUGUUUA